Small nuclear RNA from Gracilinanus agilis (Agile Gracile Mouse Opossum), 104 nucleotides. Lineage: Eukaryota; Metazoa; Chordata; Mammalia; Didelphimorphia; Didelphidae. The record is from RefSeq and is a predicted model, not a curated record.
GUUGGAAAGGCAGCACAGACACUAAGAUUGGAAUGAUACAGAGAAGAUUAGCAUGGCCCCUUGCUAAGGAUGAUACAAAAGUUCAUAAAGUGUUCCACAUUUUU